AAUUUGUCUAUAUAUCGUCAUUACUCGUUUAUUUUCACUUUUUUUUAUUUUCUAUACCGCCGUCUUAAGAUAAAACUUCGAAGUUUUAUCUCAAGCUCUUUUGGUAAGUCAGGUCAAGGUGGAGACUAUAAAAAAGUUUAGAUUAAUUAUUCAUAAACGUUAUUUAAAGUCAGUCAUCUAAAGAUAACUUAAAUAAAGAUUUGAAAGUAGUCUUUGAUUAAAGAUCAAAGACAAACUUGUCUCAGGUGUACAUAUCGCCCGUCACCCUCGUCUAAAGAUGAGGUAAGUCGUAACAUAGUUAGUGUACUGGAAAGUGCACUAAGGGGAAUUAAAAGCUUUAGCGUUUCAUUUACACAGAAAAGAAUGAUAAUUCAAUUCUUAUAAACCUUUUUACUUAACUUACUAUUCAUUUCAUUUAAUUUUCUUUUUUUUUAAAUAACCGUAAGGGCCAAUAAAUUGAUCCUAAGAAACUUUUUAGUGUACCUUUUGUAUCAGGGUGAAUCAAACUUAUUCUUGAAAAAUGUUAUCCCGAAAUUAAAUGAGCUACUUCAUUUAUUAUAUUUUAUAGCAAAAAAAUAGUAAAAGUUUAGUAGAAGUGAAAUUCCAUCCGUAUUUUAUUAUAUCUGGUUUUUUCAAAAAGUACAAUUACUUAAACCUAAAAAGGGACAAUCUUUUUUAGCUAUUUAUUUUCCACUCUAUACACCCAUCUAGGAUUAGAAGUGUCUUCUUGUGUAAAAACUUUUAUUCUUAUAUCCAGAUAAAUUUUUUUAUGAAAUCUUACUCUUUUUAUAAAGACAAUGACUCAAUCAGUAAAGAGAUAUUUCAACCAUUCUUUUUAAAACCUUUAAAACGAUUUCUCUAACUUAUUUUUAUUAAUUUGGCUGAGUUUUCUGACUGUUUACCAAAAACAUUUCUGAAUGUUUUUCUUUUCAGUAAGACCUGCUCAAUGAUUCUUUCAAUAGCCGCAACUUAUGUGCUAAGGUAGCAUAAUCAUUUGCCUUAUAAUUUAAGGCUAGUAUGAAAGGUUUAACAUGAUAACUUCUUUGUUAAUUUAACUGCUAUAAUUUUACUUAUAAGUAAAAAGGCUUAUAUUCAGGAGGGGGACGACAAGACCCUAUCGAGCUUUACUUAUCAGUUGGACUGGGGUGGUAAAAAACUAAAUCUUUUCAUUUCGUUUCUUUUUAUCCUUAUUAUAAGAUUUUCAAGUUACCGUAGGGAUAACAGCAUAAUUUUUUUCUAGAGAUCUUAU
Molecule: ribosomal RNA, 1249 nt
Filed under: Myrmekiaphila torreya
Lineage: Eukaryota; Metazoa; Arthropoda; Arachnida; Araneae; Euctenizidae
Description: partial 16S large subunit ribosomal RNA
Source: RNAcentral